RNAcentral lists this unclassified non-coding RNA (200 nucleotides) under Ascomycota sp. RNAcentral describes it as "partial internal transcribed spacer 2". The record is from RNAcentral. Lineage: Eukaryota; Fungi; Ascomycota.
UUAAGUUCAGCGGGUAUUCCUACCUGAUCCGAGGUCAACCUUGCGUCGUGUGUCUGUUUCACGGCAGGCGCCCGCCGCGGGCCCUGAGCGAGGCGAAAGCUACUGCGCUCGGGAUCGCGGCGAGCCCGCCACUGGAAUUCGGGGCCUACGGCGCGCGUAGGGUCCCCAACACCAAGCGGGGCUUGAGCGGUCGAAAUGAC